Molecule: long non-coding RNA, 616 nt
Filed under: Homo sapiens (human)
Lineage: Eukaryota; Metazoa; Chordata; Mammalia; Primates; Hominidae
Description: HSALNT0324898
Source: RNAcentral
CAUGCUGUCUGUAAGUUCCUUGCUCCUAGGGUGACCCUUCAUUUCCCGGCCGCUCCGCUCAGACUCCUCAAGCUUCCUGCUGCCUCCAAUGCAAUGGUGGAGGAUGAGCUCCACUAAGGAACACAUCCGGCUCACAGAUCUGGCUGGCAUUGCUCUGUCUUGUAACAGCAGGUUUCUCUUUACUGCCUGAUUUUCUGCUACCCCUGUGGAGGGUCAUUUCUGUGUGUGUCUGCUUUCCCGGCUCUAAGCUCCAAGUGCUAUCACCUUCAGUUGACCAGCUGCGUCUUUGUCCCUCCCCACAUCACUUUCUGCAGCCAGGGCAGCACUCCUGGACAGGAAGCCAUGAACUUGCAAUUCCACCAUUUCUUCCAGUUGCUUUUGGGAAACAGGAUGCCUGAGGUCAGAGGUUUUCCCCUUGUGACCAAACCAGCUAAGACUGGUGGGAUCCAAAGUGGCAGCUCACUUUACCUCUAAAGAACAUCUAGGCUGGGCACAGUGGCUCACGCCUGUAAUCCCAGCACUUUGGGAGGCCAAGGCGGGCAGAUCAUGAGGUCAGGAGAUCGAGACCAUCUUGGCUAACAUGGUGAAACCUUGUUUCUACUAAAAGUACAAAAAA